GGGGGUGUAGCUCAGCUGGUUAGAGCGCUGGCCUGUCACGCCAGAGGUCCCGGGUUCGAGUCCCGUCACUCCCGCCA
RNAcentral lists this transfer RNA (77 nucleotides) under Dehalococcoidia bacterium. Its description in RNAcentral is "tRNA-Asp". It matches the Rfam family "tRNA". From Rfam's summary of the family: Transfer RNA (tRNA) molecules are approximately 80 nucleotides in length. Their secondary structure includes four short double-helical elements and three loops (D, anti-codon, and T loops). Further hydrogen bonds mediate the characteristic L-shaped molecular structure. tRNAs have two regions of fundamental functional importance: the anti-codon, which is responsible for specific mRNA codon recognition, and the 3' end, to which the tRNAs corresponding amino acid is attached (by aminoacyl-tRNA synthetases). tRNAs cope with the degeneracy of the genetic code in two manners: having more than one tRNA (with a specific anti-codon) for a particular amino acid; and 'wobble' base-pairing, i.e. permitting non-standard base-pairing at the 3rd anti-codon position. Lineage: Bacteria; Bacillati; Chloroflexota; Dehalococcoidia. The record is from RNAcentral.